Molecule: ribosomal RNA, 256 nt
Filed under: uncultured bacterium
Lineage: Bacteria
Description: partial 16S ribosomal RNA
Rfam family: Bacterial small subunit ribosomal RNA
Source: RNAcentral
UAAUACGAAUGUGGCAAGCGUUGUUCGGAAUCACUGGGCGUAAAGAGUACGUAGGCGGCUUGAUAAGUCAGGAGUGAAAUCCCAGGGCUCAACCCUGGAACUGCUCUUGAAACUAUCUGGCUAGAAGCUCGGAGAGGUUGGCGGAAUUCCCAGUGUAGAGGUGAAAUUCGCAGAUAUUGGGAGGAACACCAGUGGCGUAAGCGGCCAACUGGACGAGCAUUGACGCUGAGGUACGAAAGCGUGGGGAUCAAACAGG